Molecule: ribosomal RNA, 451 nt
Filed under: uncultured bacterium
Lineage: Bacteria
Description: partial 16S ribosomal RNA
Rfam family: Bacterial small subunit ribosomal RNA
Source: RNAcentral
AACGAACGCUGGCGGCAGGCUUAACACACGCAAGUCGAACGGGUGUAGCAAUACAUCAGUGGCGCACGGGUGAGUAACGCGUGGGAAUAUGCCCUUUGGUACGGAACAACCUCGGGAAACUGAGGCUAAUACCGUAUGAUAUCUGCGGAUCAAAGAUUUAUCGCCAAAGGAUUAGCCCGCGUUGGAUUAGGUAGUUGGUGAGGUAACGGCUCACCAAGCCGACGAUCCAUAGCUGUUCUGAGAGGAUGAUCAGCCACACUGGGACUGAGACACGGCCCAGACUCCUACGGGAGGCAGCAGUGAGGAAUAUUGGACAAUGGAGGAAACUCUGAUCCAGCCAUGCCGCGUGAGUGAUGAAGGCCUUCGGGUUGUAAAGCUCUUUUACCCCUGACGAUAAUGACGGUAAGGGGAGAAAAAGCCACGGCUAACUUCGUGCCAGCCGCCGCGGUAA